AUGCACCCUGUGUCGAUCUCCUUUCAACCCUUCACUGCAACUCCCGCGGGCGAUUUUCCCUCGAGGACCACUAAUGUGAGGUCUCGCGGUGAUUUUGUCAAGUUGCCAACAGUUGGAAGAAGUAGUGGAUACCGUGCCAUGAAUUCCGGACCAAAUUCUGCUUCCAGGUCUGCAACGACUGGGGAACAGGAUUUUGCUGUGGGAGAGAAUGAUGGUGUGAUCAUAGUCGACCAUGGGUCACGGCGACAGGAAUCUAAUCUCAUGCUAAACGAUUUUGUUACUAUGUUCAGGGCAAGGACUGGAUACAGGAUUGUUGAGCCUGCUCACAUGGAGCUCGCUGAGCCUACCAUUAAAGAAGCAUUUGGAAAAUGUGUCCAGCAAGGCGCAUCCCGCAUUAUUGUCAGCCCAUAUUUCCUUUCACCUGGACGGCACUGGAAACAAGAUAUACCUUCUUUAGCAGCAGAAGCCUCUAAAGAGCACUCUAACGUGGCCUACAUUGUCACUGCUCCUCUUGGAUUGCAUGAGCUUAUGGUGGAUGUUAUGAAUGAUCGCAUCAAGUACUGCCUGAGGCAUGUUGCAGGCGAUGCCGGUGAGUGUGCAGUAUGUGCUGGGACUGGAAAGUGCCACCUCUACUCCUGA
Molecule: ribosomal RNA, 639 nt
Filed under: Triticum aestivum (bread wheat)
Lineage: Eukaryota; Viridiplantae; Streptophyta; Magnoliopsida; Poales; Poaceae
Description: partial small subunit ribosomal RNA
Source: RNAcentral